Molecule: long non-coding RNA, 1060 nt
Organism: Gigantopelta aegis
Lineage: Eukaryota; Metazoa; Mollusca; Gastropoda; Neomphalida; Peltospiridae
Exons: 2
Source: RefSeq, a predicted model, not a curated record
ACAAAGUGUAAUGGAGGAGCUGUCCUACAUUGGAGAGGCGUGCGGUUGAUUAAACAAUGUGCUGAGGUGCCGUUAAACAAACAUUCGUUUUCUUCAAUAUUUGUCGUUUCAGCCAGUGCACCACGACUGGUAUAUCAAACGCCGUGGUAUGUGCUAUCCUGUAUGUGGGAUGGUGCAUAUAAAAGACCCCUUGCUAUUAAUGAAAAGUUUCCUGCCAUGGACGGAGGAGACGGCAGAAGUCGACACCUGCACCCAUGCCAGGCGUGCGCUACAAUAGCAUGCUCUGAAUGUGCAUGUAAAACCUUAGAUGACCUGAACUGACCUAAUGAAAAAAUGUAGCGGGUUUCCUCUAUAAGACUAUAUGUCAAAACUACCAAAUGUUUGACAUUCAAUAGCCGAUAGAUGAUUAAUAAAUCAAUGUGCUCUAGUGGUGUCGUUAAAUAAACAUUCCUCUUCUUUACUAUUUGAGUAUAUGCGCUAGUAAGCACAUCUAUCUUUCGUAGUUCUACUAAACGACCCCGCGCCAGUAGCUGUUGUCUGCCUCCGGAGCGCGCGCGCUAUGCCGUCUGGUCGCGUUAUGAGACGAAACCUGCCUCUCACCUGUAAUCAUAAAGGGCGAAUCAUAUUCAGCGACUGGCAAUGGAUUUUCACAUGAUAGUCAAGUCAAUGGAUGACAUUUUCCUUGGGAUGAAAAGCCACUGUACCGGAGCAGACGACGUAUAGCCGACGUAUAGCCGACGAUGGCCACGUACCUAUAUAUAACACGACCUACACAUGAAAGGAAGAUGUCGGUGAAAAAACUUCACAUCCUAAUGUUGAUUUUUCUUUUCCUAGUGCAGAAUAGGUCGUUAAACUUAUGCUGGGCUUAGAGUGAAUAUUUCUGUGUUAACCGAAAUAUUUAGACUGUUGUUAUAUAGGUGUGAAAAACAUGUUUCCGGAACCAUAAGCCUAAUUAUUUAGAAAAAAAAGAAAAAAAGUGCCGACCUUUUUUGUUUUAGUUUUUUCUUCAGUGUAGGCCUAUUAUUAUUUUUAUUUUAUAUUUUGUAAACUAUUAUUAUUA